This 202-nucleotide unclassified non-coding RNA is filed under the name Hevea brasiliensis (rubber tree). Lineage: Eukaryota; Viridiplantae; Streptophyta; Magnoliopsida; Malpighiales; Euphorbiaceae. The record is from RNAcentral.
UUUUCUUGGUCGAGGAAAAAAGGAAGGAAAAAAAAAAGGAAGAGAGAGAAAGACAGAGAGUUGAUCUUCGAAGAAAACAGGUAGAUAGAGAGAGUUGUGUCAGAAGAAAAAUAUAAGAAGCUUUUAAUGCGAGGUGGUUGAUGAAUGAUGAUGGGUUCUCUUUUCUUUUUUCCUUUUUUAUUUUUUCCAUUUCGUUUCUCUU